GACGAACGCUGGCGGCGUGCUUAACACAUGCAAGUCGAACGGAAAGGCCCUGCUUUUGUGGGGUGCUCGAGUGGCGAACGGGUGAGUAACACGUGAGUAACCUGCCCUUGACUUUGGGAUAACUUCAGGAAACUGGGGCUAAUACCGGAUAGGAGCUCCUGCUGCAUGGUGGGGGUUGGAAAGUUUCGGCGGUUGGGGAUGGACUCGCGGCUUAUCAGCUUGUUGGUGGGGUAGUGGCUUACCAAGGCUUUGACGGGUAGCCGGCCUGAGAGGGUGACCGGCCACAUUGGGACUGAGAUACGGCCCAGACUCCUACGGGAGGCAGCAGUGGGGAAUAUUGCACAAUGGGCGGAAGCCUGAUGCAGCAACGCCGCGUGCGGGAUGACGGCCUUCGGGUUGUAAACCGCUUUCGCCUGUGACGAAUCGUGAGUGACGGUAAUGGGUAAAGAAGCACCGGCUAACUACGUGCCAGCAGCCGCGGUGAUACGUAGGGUGCGAGCGUUGUCCGGAUUUAUUGGGCGUAAAGGGCUCGUAGGUGGUUGAUCGCGUCGGAAGUGUAAUCUUGGGGCUUAACCCUGAGCGUGCUUUCGAUACGGGUUGACUUGAGGAAGGUAGGGGAGAAUGGAAUUCCUGGUGGAGCGGUGGAAUGCGCAGAUAUCAGGAGGAACACCAGUGGCGAAGGCGGUUCUCUGGGCCUUUCCUGACGCUGAGGAGCGAAAGCGUGGGGAGCGAACAGGCUUAGAUACCCUGGUAGUCCACGCUGUAAACGGUGGGUACUAGGUGUGGGGUCCAUUCCACGGGUUCCGUGCCGUAGCUAACGCUUUAAGUACCCCGCCUGGGGAGUACGGCCGCAAGGCUAAAACUCAAAGGAAUUGACGGGGCCCCGCACAAGCGGCGGAGCAUGCGGAUUAAUUCGAUGCAACGCGUAGAACCUUACCUGGGUUUGACAUGGAUCGGGAGCGCUCAGAGAUGGGUGUGCCUCUUUUGGGGUCGGUUCACAGGUGGUGCAUGGCUGUCGUCAGCUCGUGUCGUGAGAUGUUGGGUUAAGUCCCGCAACGAGCGCAACCCUUGUUCACUGUUGCCAGCACGUUAUGGUGGGGACUCAGUGGAGACCGCCGGGGUCAACUCGGAGGAAGGUGGGGAUGACGUCAAGUCAUCAUGCCCCUUAUGUCCAGGGCUUCACGCAUGCUACAAUGGCUGGUACAGAGAGUGGCGAGCCUGUGAGGGUGAGCGAAUCUCGGAAAGCCGGUCUCAGUUCGGAUUGGGGUCUGCAACUCGACCUCAUGAAGUCGGAGUCGCUAGUAAUCGCAGAUCAGCAACGCUGCGGUGAAUACGUUCCCGGGGCU
This 1346-nucleotide ribosomal RNA is filed under the name uncultured bacterium. RNAcentral's name for it is "bacterial SSU rRNA". It matches the Rfam family "Bacterial small subunit ribosomal RNA", at positions 28 to 1381 of the family's 1533-position model. The record is from RNAcentral.